GGAGGUGGAGGAAAGGUGGAGAGAGAAGAUGAAGCAAGCUACUCUAGAACAUGAACUGGAGAUGGAAGAGUUAAGACAGCAGUUAGGAACAGUGAAGGAGACACUGGUGGCCGGCCUAGAGGGAAGAGUGGAGGAGAAAGUAAGGGAGCAACUUCAGCAAGAAAAAGAAAGAAUUGUAAAGAUUUUGGAAACAAGUUUUGUAGAGAGGGAAAGAAAUGCACUGGAAAUUUUGAAGGCAGAGCUGCUGGAAAGGUUGAGGCAGGAGAAGGAGGAAGCAGUGGAAGAAGAAGGAAACAAGAUCAGUGCUGAGUGGAAGAAAGAUUUGCAUAGGAAAGAAGAAGAAAAGAAGAGAGAAAGACAAGAAUUUCUGGAGAAUGAGAGGAGACACUGGGAGAAGGAGAAGGAAGAGGAAGUGCAGAGGAAACUUGCUCUUGUGGUGGAGGAAGGCCGAAGGGAACUGGAGGAGGAGAGAAAGAGACACAGGCUGGAGGUUGGAAAACAUAAGGUCUAGAUUUAGAAUGAUGACAACGACCACAGCCACCACCAGCACCUCCCCCACUAGCCUGCCUUUCUCUUCAAGUCCCAGCGAGGAGCACCCGCCCUCCUCCCCACCCUCCUCUCUCAGCAGAUGGGAGGUGAGAGGGAGAGAAAGAGACAAAGAGAGAAAGAGGGAGAGGACACCCACAAUUCACACUGAAAAUGUUCUGUCUUACUCUAAUGCCUCUCUUUAAUUGCUCAGGGCCUGGACAGACUGAGAGAGGAACUGAUGAAAGAGAGAGAGAGAUAGAGAUUGAAGAGAGAAUUGCAAGUGUAAGAGAGGAAGAAAGGAGG
Long non-coding RNA from Scylla paramamosain (green mud crab), 831 nucleotides. RefSeq lists it as uncharacterized. Lineage: Eukaryota; Metazoa; Arthropoda; Malacostraca; Decapoda; Portunidae. The transcript has 4 exons. The record is from RefSeq and is a predicted model, not a curated record.